Pangasianodon gigas (Mekong giant catfish) is the source of this 73-nucleotide non-coding RNA. Lineage: Eukaryota; Metazoa; Chordata; Actinopteri; Siluriformes; Pangasiidae. The record is from the annotation of a GenBank genome assembly.
GAAGUGGUAGGUCAGUGGUUAAGAUGUUGGCCUAGUACUCAGAAGGUUAUGAGUUCAAAUCCCAGCUCCCACU